GGGGCCUUAGCUCAGUUGGUAGAGCACCGCCUUUGCAAGGCGGGUGUCAGGGGUUCGAUUCCCCUAGGCUCCACGA
This 76-nucleotide transfer RNA is filed under the name Mycobacterium marseillense. RNAcentral's name for it is "tRNA-Ala". It matches the Rfam family "tRNA". From Rfam's summary of the family: Transfer RNA (tRNA) molecules are approximately 80 nucleotides in length. Their secondary structure includes four short double-helical elements and three loops (D, anti-codon, and T loops). The record is from RNAcentral. Lineage: Bacteria; Bacillati; Actinomycetota; Actinomycetes; Mycobacteriales; Mycobacteriaceae.